GCCAGAUGUGGUGGCACACACCUGUAAUCCCAGUGAUUUAGGAGGCUGAGACAGGAGGAUUUCAAGUUCAAGGACAGCUUCAGCAACUUAGUGAGGCCCUAGCAACUUAGCAAGACUCUGUCUCAA
This 126-nucleotide small RNA is filed under the name Marmota monax (woodchuck). Lineage: Eukaryota; Metazoa; Chordata; Mammalia; Rodentia; Sciuridae. The record is from RNAcentral.